UUAUGGCUCAGGAUGAACGCUGGCGGCGUAGCCUAACACAUGCAAGUCGAGCGAUCUCUCGGAGAAGAGCGGCGGACGGGUGAGUAACGCGUGGGUAACCUGUCUCAUACACAUGGAUAACAUACCGAAAGGUAUGCUAAUACAGGAUAAUAUAAGAGAUUCACAUGGAUUUCUUAUCAAAGCUCCGGCGGUAUGAGAUGGACCCGCGUCUGAUUAGCUAGUUGGUAAGGUAACGGCUUACCAAGGCGACGAUCAGUAGCCGACCUGAGAGGGUGAUCGGCCACAUUGGAACUGAGACACGGUCCAAACUCCUACGGGAGGCAGGCAGUGGGGAAUAUUGCACAAUGGGCGAAAGCCUGAUGCAGCAACGCCGCGUGAGUGAUGAAGGCCUUCGGGUCGUAAAACUCUGUCCUCAAGGAAGAUAAUGACGGUACUUGAGGAGGAAGCCCCGGCUAACUACGUGCCAGCCGCCGC
This 474-nucleotide ribosomal RNA is filed under the name uncultured bacterium. RNAcentral describes it as "bacterial SSU rRNA". It matches the Rfam family "Bacterial small subunit ribosomal RNA", at positions 17 to 518 of the family's 1533-position model. The record is from RNAcentral.